Molecule: ribosomal RNA, 419 nt
Filed under: uncultured bacterium
Lineage: Bacteria
Description: bacterial SSU rRNA
Rfam family: Bacterial small subunit ribosomal RNA
Source: RNAcentral
AGGAAUAUUGGUCAAUGGGGGCAACCCUGAACCAGCCAUGCCGCGUGCAGGACGACUGCCCUAUGGGUUGUAAACUGCUUUUGUUAGGGAAUACACCCCGCUACGUGUAGCGGGCUGACUGUACCUAAAGAAUAAGGAUCGGCUAACUCCGUGCCAGCAGCCGCGGUAAUACGGAGGAUCCGAGCGUUAUCCGGAUUUAUUGGGUUUAAAGGGUGCGUAGGCGGCACUUUAAGGCAGGGGUGAAAGACGGCAGCUCAACUGUCGCAGUGCCCUUGAUACUGAAGUGCUUGAAUGCGGUUGAAGACGGCGGAAUGAGAAAAGUAGCGGUGAAAUGCAUAGAUAUGUCUCAGAACACCGAUUGCGAAGGCAGCUGUCUAAGCCGUUAUUGACGCUGAUGCACGAAAGCGUGGGGAUCGAAC